RNAcentral lists this transfer RNA (65 nucleotides) under Tagasta indica. Its description in RNAcentral is "tRNA-Glu". It matches the Rfam family "tRNA". From Rfam's summary of the family: Transfer RNA (tRNA) molecules are approximately 80 nucleotides in length. Their secondary structure includes four short double-helical elements and three loops (D, anti-codon, and T loops). Further hydrogen bonds mediate the characteristic L-shaped molecular structure. tRNAs have two regions of fundamental functional importance: the anti-codon, which is responsible for specific mRNA codon recognition, and the 3' end, to which the tRNAs corresponding amino acid is attached (by aminoacyl-tRNA synthetases). tRNAs cope with the degeneracy of the genetic code in two manners: having more than one tRNA (with a specific anti-codon) for a particular amino acid; and 'wobble' base-pairing, i.e. permitting non-standard base-pairing at the 3rd anti-codon position. The record is from RNAcentral. Lineage: Eukaryota; Metazoa; Arthropoda; Insecta; Orthoptera; Pyrgomorphidae.
AUUUAUAUAGUUUAAAAAACCUUACAUUUUCAAUGUAAAAAUAAUAAGUAAAUUAUUUAUAAAUA